RNAcentral lists this ribosomal RNA (464 nucleotides) under uncultured bacterium. RNAcentral describes it as "partial 16S ribosomal RNA". It matches the Rfam family "Bacterial small subunit ribosomal RNA", at positions 339 to 795 of the family's 1533-position model. The record is from RNAcentral.
CUACGGGUGGCACCAGUGGGGAAUAUUGCACAAUGGGCGCAAGCCUGAUGCAGCCAUGCCGCGUGUAUGAAGAAGGCCUUCGGGUUGUAAAGUACUUUCAGCGGGGAGGAAGGGAGUAAAGUUAAUACCUUUGCUCAUUGACGUUACCCGCAGAAGAAGCACCGGCUAACUCCGUGCCAGCAGCCGCGGUAAUACGGAGGGUGCAAGCGUUAAUCGGAAUUACUGGGCGUAAAGCGCACGCAGGCGGUUUGUUAAGUCAGAUGUGAAAUCCCCGGGCUCAACCUGGGAACUGCAUCUGAUACUGGCAAGCUUGAGUCUCGUAGAGGGGAGUAGAAUUCCAGGUGUAGCGGUGAAAUGCGUAGAGAUCUGGAGGAAUACCGGUGGCGAAGGCGGCCCCCUGGACGAAGACUGACGCUCAGGUGCGAAAGCGUGGGGAGCAAACAGGAUUAGAUACCCGUGUAGUC